GACGAACGCUGGCGGCGUGCCUAAUACAUGCAAGUCGAACGCUUCUUUCCUCCCGAGUGCUUGCACUCAAUUGGAAAGAGGAGUGGCGGACGGGUGAGUAACACGUGGGUAACCUACCCAUCAGAGGGGGAUGACACUUGGAAACAGGCGCUAAUACCGCAUAACAGUUUAUGCCGCAUGGCAUAAGAGUGAAAGGCGCUUUCGGGUGUCGCUGAUGGAUGGACCCGCGGUGCAUUAGCUAGUUGGUGAGGUAACGGCUCACCAAGGCCACGAUGCAUAGCCGACCUGAGGGGGUGAUCGGCCACACUGGGACUGAGACACGGCCCAGACUCCUACGGGAGGCAGCAGUAGGGAAUCUUCGGCAAUGGACGAAAGUCUGACCGAGCAACGCCGCGUGAGUGAAGAAGGUUUUCGGAUCGUAAAACUCUGUUGUUAGAGAAGAACAAGGACGUUAGUAACUGAACGUCCCCUGACGGUAUCUAACCAGAAAGCCACGGCUAACUACGUG
Molecule: ribosomal RNA, 508 nt
Filed under: uncultured bacterium
Lineage: Bacteria
Description: partial 16S ribosomal RNA
Rfam family: Bacterial small subunit ribosomal RNA
Source: RNAcentral